CCUACGGGAGGCAGCAGUGGGGAAUAUUGGACAAUGGGCGAAAGCCUGAUCCAGCAAUGCCGCGUGAGUGAUGAAGGCCUUAGGGUUGUAAAGCUCUUUUACCAGGGAUGAUAAUGACAGUACCUGGAGAAUAAGCUCCGGCUAACUCCGUGCCAGCAGCCGCGGUAAUACGGAGGGAGCUAGCGUUGUUCGGAAUUACUGGGCGUAAAGCGUACGUAGGCGGUUAUUCAAGUCAGAGGUGAAAGCCUGGAGCUCAACUCCAGAACUGCCUUUGAAACUAGAUAGCUAGAAUCUUGGAGAGGUGAGUGGAAUUCCGAGUGUAGAGGUGAAAUUCGUAGAUAUUCGGAAGAACACCAGUGGCGAAGGCGACUCACUGGACAAGUAUUGACGCUGAGGUACGAAAGCGUGGGGAGCAAACAGGAUUAGAUACCCUGGUAGUCCACGCCGUAAACGAUGAUAACUAGCUGUUCGGGCUCUACGAGCUUGAGUGCGCAGCUACGCAUUAAGUUAUCCGUCCGUGGGAGGUACGGUCGCAGAUAAACUACAAGAAGUAGAGCGNGAGAGUGCCGAACGGACGACGACGAGGGAGGAGG
This 593-nucleotide ribosomal RNA is filed under the name uncultured bacterium. RNAcentral describes it as "bacterial SSU rRNA". The stretch from base 1 to 516 matches the Rfam family "Bacterial small subunit ribosomal RNA", at positions 338 to 873 of the family's 1533-position model. The record is from RNAcentral.